This 371-nucleotide ribosomal RNA is filed under the name uncultured bacterium. RNAcentral's name for it is "bacterial SSU rRNA". It matches the Rfam family "Bacterial small subunit ribosomal RNA", at positions 28 to 400 of the family's 1533-position model. The record is from RNAcentral.
GACGAACGCUGGCGGCGUGCUUAACACAUGCAAGUCGAGCGGUAAGGCCCUUUCGGGGGUACACGAGCGGCGAACGGGUGAGUAACACGUGGGUGACCUGCCCUCAGCUCUGGGAUAAGCCUGGGGAAACUGGGUCUAAUACUGGAUAUGACUCCACGGUGCAUGUCGUGGGGUGGAAAGCCUUGUGCGGCUGAGGAUGGGCCCGCGGCCUAUCAGCUUGUUGGUGGGGNGAUGGCCUACCAAGGCGACGACGGGUAGCCGGCCUGAGAGGGCGACCGGCCACACUGGGACUGAGACACGGCCCAGACUCCUACGGGAGGCAGCAGUGGGAAUCUUGCGCAAUGGGCGAAAGCCUGACGCAGCGACGCCGC